This 4296-nucleotide ribosomal RNA is filed under the name Candidatus Uhrbacteria bacterium. Its description in RNAcentral is "23S ribosomal RNA". It matches the Rfam family "Bacterial large subunit ribosomal RNA". Lineage: Bacteria; Candidatus Uhriibacteriota. The record is from RNAcentral.
GACAAUAAGGGAGUAGGGUGGAUGCCUAGGCACCAGAUGCCGAUGAAGGACGCAGCAGGCGGCGAUACGCCUCGGGGAGCAGCCAAGCAUGCUUUGAUCCGGGGAUUUCCGAAUGAGGAAACUCGAUAUUGUGAAGCGAUAUCACCCACUCCACCUCGCGUGGAGCGGGAGGGCACCCGGCGAAGUGAACCAUCUCAGUAGCCGGAGGAAAAGAAAACAAGGUGCAUACUUCGUCACCGCGUAAUGUUGAAUGGAGAAUGUGGGCGGGGGCUUGCCCCUGCGCGCAUUCAACAUUUGGCAUUGCGCGAACGGAGUAUGUGCUCAUUCCCCUAGUAGUGGCGAGCGAACGGGGAACAGCCGAAACCAUAUUGGAGGAGAAGCGCGAAGUUCGUUCGUGCCGCAAGGUACGCAGCGACGAGUAGUGCAUCUCAGCCGGGACGGGCAUAUCCAGUAUGGAGUCAAACGCAUGGUCGGUUGCGCUCGUCCAGUAGCGCAGAUUGGAGAGUAACCCGUGAGGGUGAUGACAUCCCUAGUCGAAUCCCCCUGGAAAGGGGAGCCAGAGCAGGUGACAGCCCUGUAGGCGAAAGGGGUCAGACUCCAAUGCGAUCAUUGCGGAAGUACGACGGGACACGUGAAAUCCCGUCGGAAAUCGGGGCGACUACGCUCCAAGGCUAAAUACAUCUGGCGACCGAUAGUGAACAAGUACCGUGAGGGAAAGGUGAAAAGCAGCCCGGUGAGGGCGGCGAAAAGCUCCUGAAACCCUACUCUUACAAGAAGUCGGAGCUCGGUCCCGGCGCAAGCCGGGAUGAGUGACGGCGUGCCUAUUGAAGAAUGAGCCAGUGAGUUUAUUGCUGUUGCCUGUCGAAGGCCUACGGGCCCAAGGCACAGGGAAACCGAGUCUGAUAAGGGCAUAUCGUUCAGGUGUUUGACGUUCAAUGGGAGUGCCGAGCAAUCGGCAUUCCUGGAGAUCGUCAUUCACCUGAUCGAACGCAGCAGCAACAAGACCCGAAACCGGGUGAGCUAGCCAUGGGCAGGGUGAAGUUCGCGUAACAGCGAACGGAGGCCCGAACCCGUGAGUCGUGCAACGCUUUGGGAUGACCUGUGGCUAGAGGAGAAAUUCCAAUCGAACUCGGUGAUAGCUGGUUCUCCCCGAAAUAGCUUGUGGGCUAGCGCGUUGAUGACCCCUGGGGGUAGAGCACUGAAUGGGGACCGGUGGAGCGAUCCUACGUUCCCCAACCAAACUCCGAAUACCAGGCAAGUUAUAUCAGCGUAGUCAGUACGUGGGGGCGAAGCUCCACGGAACAAAAGGGAAACAGCCCAGACCUCCAGCUAAGGCCCUGAAAUCUCAACUCAGUGGGAAAGGUGGUGAGGCGGCGCAGACAACCAGGAGGUUGGCUUAGAAGCAGCCACCCUUCAAAGAAAGCGUAACAGCUCACUGGUCAAGCUGCCUUGCGCCGAAAAUGUAACGGGGCUUAAGUUGAGUGCCGAAGCUGAGGAUGUAUGCCGUUUACGGCAUGCGUGGUAGGGGAGCGUUCCCUGCUGCGGUGAAGCCGGACCCGUGAGGGCCGGUGGAGCGCAGGGAAGUGAGAAUGCUGGCAUAAGUAGCAAAACGGAAAGUGAGAACCUUUCCCACCGUAAACCCAAGGUUUCCUGGGCAACGCAAAUCGACCCAGGGUUAGGCGGUCCUAAGGUGAGUCCUCGCGCAUAGCGUGGGGGGUAGCCGAUGGAAUACAGGUGAAUAUUCCUGUCCUCCCGAUCGUGCUCCCGUCGCUGACGCAGUUCGAUAGUUCUCGGGCGUUUUGGCUAUACGUCUGUCUUGACCUCCGGUCAGGACGCAGGUGCGGCCGCAAGGCCAAGCCGAUGAGAGCGAGUGAGCUGCCCAGAAAAGGCGACGGUUAUGAGCGGUUGGGAACCGUACCGGAAACCGACACAGGUGGGUGGGCACGAGUGUGCCAAGGUGUACGGGAGAACCCUCGUGAAGGAACUCGGCAAUACAAUGGCCGUAACUUCGGGAUAAGGCCUGCCCGUAGCAAUACGGGCCGCAGCAAGCGACGUCAAGCGACUGUUUACCAAAAACACAGGUCCCUGCAAAGCCGAAAGGCGAAGUAUAGGGGCUGAUGCCUGGCCAGUGUCAGAACGUUAAAGAGAGAGGUGAAACGUGACCGCAAGGUUACAUGUAGCCUUGAACUGAAGCGCUGAUGAACGCCGGCGAUAACCAUAAUCGUCCUAAGGUGGAAUACUCGUUGCCUUAGUGGGGUGGAAGACCCCCUCCGAACUCCGUAUGCCGCGGAGAGGUAGGAAGAAAAUCUGGCUAUAUGCUGGAACAUCCGCGCAUGUCAUCGUACCUCCUCGGAGGUGAGAAUCGGUGACCGAUGCGGACAAUCAGCAGGGAAGUCCAUGGGGACCCCUCAGAGACUCCACGCCGGAUCUCGGUGGCAGCAUCGAGAAAGAUAGAGUCCGACCUGCAGGGCGACCUGCAGAGUGCGACAGAAAUGUUCGCACCGUACCUACGCAAGUAGGUGCAGCAACAAUGUGAGCGUAAUCCCCUGCCGGGUGAGUUCCGGCCCGCACGAAUGGCAUAACGACUUGACGACUGUCUCCACGAGGGACCCGGCGAAAUUGCAAGGGGCGUGAAGAUGCGCUCUUACCCGUGGCUGGACGAAAAGACCCCGUGAAGCUUUACUGUAGCUUGCUCUUGGGUACAUGCUUCGUAUGUUCAGCGUAGGUGGGAGGGCCGCCGCAAGGCGGUCCAACAAUGAGACACCACCCUUGCGCUGUGUGUAUCCUAAUUUCUGGCAGUUAUCCUGCUGGGGAGACAGGAGCUGGUAGGCAGUUUGACUGGGGCGGUUGCCUCCCAAAAGGUAACGGAGGCGUUCACAAAGGUCGGCUUAGCGCGGAUGGAAAUCGCGCUGGACCUGCAAGCGGAAAAGCCGGCUUUACUGCAAGGCCGACACGCCGAGCAGUCGCGAAAGCGGGAGCUAGUGAUCCGACCGUUCGAUGUAGGACGGCGGAAGCUCAUCGGAUAAAAGCUACUCCGGGGAUAACAGGCUGAUCUCGCCCGAGCGUCCACAGCGACGGCGAGGUUUGGCACCUCAACACAUCGGGGUGCUGCAGCAGUGAUGCUGCACAAAAAAUUGGCUCAUAACGGUGGAUCUCCAUGGCGCCCAGUGGUAUCAUAUCGGCGCAUGGACAAUACCGUGGGAAGUCUCACACAGUUACAGGAGCAGGUACUCAUCGGAAGUAUUCUCGGCGACGGAGCGCUUCGGCGACAAACCGUUGGCCGAAAUGCGUUGCUCGAAGUGAAUCAUGCGGCGAAGUAUCGCGCAUACGUCGAUUGGAAAUUUGAGGUGUUCCGCACUCUGGUUCGGACUCCUCCGAUGGAACGUUCGACGAAUGGCGUGCGACGUGCGUACCGAUUCACAACGCGGAGCCUACCCGUGCUGACGCAAUGGCACGAGCGGUUCUAUUUCGGUGAUCAUGGAAAGCAGAUUCGAGGGACGAUGCCUCUCGAUCUGCAGGCGAUCGCAGUGUGGUUCAUGGAUGAUGGCGCGAAGAGUCGGAAUGGCCUCUACCUCAAUACGCAGCAAUUUGAUCGCGUAUCGCAGGAGUGGCUUCGACGAUCGUUGCUGCAUCAAUGGAACAUUGACACAUCGAUCCAUCGUGAUAAGCAGUACCUGCGGUUAUGGAUACGCGUUCCCAGCGCGCGGAGGAUGCGUUCGCUCCUCCGGUCAUACGUACUACCCAUAUUUUCCUAUAAACUGGCGUGGUGACCCCGUAGAGACUGAGUUGAUGGGGAAUACAUCAACGAGAUGCGUGCGGUUGUUCUGGAAUAUUAUGCACGCAUAACACGCCAACCCCUCCUGGGUGAGGGUGAAGGUAUAGUCCACAAUACAAACAAGUUUGUUUGUAUGUACUAGCGAUGUCGGCUCAUCGCAUCCUGGGGCUGAAGAAGGUCCCAAGGGUUAGGCUGUUCGCCUAUUAAAGCGGUACGUGAGCUGGGUUCAGAACGUCGUGAGACAGUUCGGUCUCCUAUCCACCACGGGCGUUUGAGGCUUGAGAGGACUGUUCCCUAGUACGAGAGGACCGGGAACAAUCGACCUCUGGUGUACCAGUUGUUCUGCCAAGAGCACUGCUGGGUAGCUAUCGUCGAAUGCGGAUAAACGCUGAAAGCAUCUAAGCGUGAAGCCGCCCUCAAGAUAAGGCCUCGUUGAGCCCCCCGGGAGAUGACCGGGUUGACCGGCGGCAGGUGUACGGCGGGUAACCGCUUUAGCCGAGCCGUACGGAUCGGGCGAAGUC